Molecule: long non-coding RNA, 2844 nt
Organism: Triticum urartu
Lineage: Eukaryota; Viridiplantae; Streptophyta; Magnoliopsida; Poales; Poaceae
Source: RefSeq, a predicted model, not a curated record
UUUUUUUCGUCCCAUCUCUCAUGUUUUUUUGGUACCUUCUCCCACCUCUGACUUAGCCACCACGAACCGAAAAAACCUCGUGCUGAGACCCAACCCGCACCCAUGCACCUACGACCGAAAAAAGACCUACGAUAGUUAACCAACGAAAAAAGACCUACGAAAACUAACCAGCGACAAAAAAACCUAAACCUAUCGCCCGCACGUGCGAUCGACGACUCCUGCCCUCGAGCGAGGUCUCCCUUCGCCGCCGCCCUUCAUCCCUUCGCCGCCGCCGCCGCUCCACCCAGAGCCGCCCUCUUCCCCGCUGCAAUGCCCGUGCCGAUCCAUCCCUUCGCCCCAAAUCCAUCCCUCUGCCGCCGCCGAUGCAUUCGCCGCCGCCGUUCCAUCCCUUCGCCGUCGCGCCGCACAUCAAAGCCGCCGCCCUCCUCGACCAGCCCCAGCUUCUGCCGCCUUGCCCCUAUCUUCCCUCCAAGCUUGACGCCCUCACCCCCCCCCCCCCCCCCCCCCCCCGCCCCCCCCCCCCCCCCCCCCCCCCCUCUUGGAGGCAGGCCACCCGCCGCUCAUCUCGGUGGCGUCAGGCGCGGGCGUCCCUACCAUGGCAUCGACGGCGCGGCGGCUCCUUGGUCCGAUCGCGGCGCUGAUGCAUCUGGAUCGACGGGGGUAGCUGGCUCGCUGGCUGGCGUUUCCUUGGAUGCGUACAUGUUCUAAUGGUGAUGGCAUGACCAUAGAUCGUAUGAGUCUAGAAGACUUUGAGGCGGUUCAUCUGCGUGGAUGGUUGUGCCUUUUUUUCCUCUUUGCAUUUUUUCUUGUUAAAUUUUUUUAACUUGUUUGCGUUGGCAACUAGAAAAAAGACUUAGAAUCCUAGAUUGCUACUUUUUACGAGAAGCUCGUACCUGAUCUGUAAGCUCACCAGCCAAGCUGUCCAUUUGGACUUCAGUAGAUAUAUGGAGUAUAUUUACUCACCUUGCCCACAACCUGUUUGAAGAAAUUUCUCUUCUGAUUUGUUGGUAUGAGGUGGCUGUUUUUUAUGUAUAUAUAUAUGUAUGUCCUGGGUGUCUAUUCUUAUCCUUUUUAGGUUCAAAGAUAAGCGCGCUCAUUAUAUUAAAUUUUGGUAUUGCAUUGUUGAGCACUUCCUGUGAAUGUUCUAUAGCCUCUAUUGUGCAGUUUUCCUUUUUUUCAGGUUCUCCAGAUGAGCACCGGAAAAUGGCAACUUGGUUGAACUGAAUCAGCUCUAAGCUCCUAAAUUUGUGCAUAUCUUAAAAACACUACAGUGCUACCUCCCCGUGGUAAUAAUAGAACAAGCAUCAAGACUUAUGAUGGUGUUUGGUGACCGAUAAAGAUGGCUGGAAAGGCUCUUUCCAAGCAUAAGGUGAAUCUUGUACAUUUCACUUCUUAAUAUAAUUUGGCCAGUAUGAUGUUUAUUUGCUGAAAACUAUAUCCCUGUUGUGGGUUAUCUGACUAAACUUGCAUUCUCUGCUUGGCACUGAUACAUACUCGUGACUUGAUACAUCCGUAUUUAGACAAAUCUAAGACAAGAAUUUUGAGACGGAGGGAGUAUAUAUUAAUAUGGGCAAAGGAAAUUCAAAAUAUUUUAUGUCAGGGAAAGAAUUCUAAAACCACAUAAGUAUCUUGGGGCUGGUUAGGACAGUGCUCAUAUUGUUUGAAACUUUACUAAUUUGAUACUCUAAAUCUAAUGCGAGCUACCGAUGGGUGUGCUGUUGAUCAUGCGAGAGAACUAACCCACGAUAGAGAGCUAUUGUUAGCAGUGUGCAGGGGUUAGGAGCUUCUCUGGGGAAGGGAUGGACAUCGACAACAUUGACUUCAACGGCCGCGCUGUAUCCUACGCACCAUGGCCACCUGGAUGGCCAGACACCAUAUGCAGGCGACUGCCGCGCUAGGAUAAGAGUACCUUAUCCCUUUCAGCGGGGUGCUCCAACUUCUGAUGCUGGUGAAGCUUUUGCAACGAUGGCUGCAUCAUCCCCGUUGGAGGUUUAAUUAAACCGAGGUAAAUAUGCCAAAAUCUUUUGUCAAAUAAAAACAUGACUGUCUAUUUUGCUUGUCAGGAUCAAGCUCUCUAGCUAUAAAUGAAAUUUUCAGAGUAGUUUUUGUUGGCUUUGUGUAACCCUGAUAGCAGCUUCUUGGAAGGUUCAGAUGUGUGGCAAAGGAUUUCAAUUUUCCUAUUUACACAAAGGAAACUCGAGGAAGGUUCAGAUUUCUCAUGCUUGGUUCUGUGCUCUGAGGGUUACAUAGACAAAAAUGCCUCCUAUUUACACAAAGAAAACCCGAGAAAGGUUCAGAUUUCUCAUGACUGCUUCUUGGGUAUUUCAUGCCUGUACCAUCUAUUAGGAAAAUAUAGUUUGUUUUAUAGCUGAUGAUGCUCGAUGCUUUUUAUCGAUAAGUAAAUGCUCAGUUUUAGCUCAUACACUACAUGGCAAAAGCUAAUUCUGAUGGGUCUGAUGCAAAUAAUUUUCAUCUUCUGACAUGCCUUGAGUUGAGUAGUUAAUUCUUUUAUAAGAAUCUAUGUACCUUUGUAUCGUUGCAGUUUCAUUAUACAUCCAUUUACCAAUGCAUCUAAAGAUUCAACAGUGUAGAAACCACCAUCAGUCUUGGGAUUGCAAAUUGUUUCUUCAUUCCUUAGGUGCGAAGGAGCCAAGGUCGUAUGUUCUCGAGGCAUCAAUACACUUCAUUUUCCUUUUCCUUUUCCCUAUUUAUGUUCUUGCAUUUAUUUCUUCUUCUCGGACCCAAUUUGCAGGGGGGGUUCUACUUUGCCUCUUGAGGCAAGUGUGGAUGUAUAUUGAUUGUGGUUGUUCGGACAAAAAUAUUGCGUGCAAACAUUAUUGAGUA